Molecule: long non-coding RNA, 1409 nt
Organism: Cynara cardunculus var. scolymus (artichoke)
Lineage: Eukaryota; Viridiplantae; Streptophyta; Magnoliopsida; Asterales; Asteraceae
Exons: 2
Source: RefSeq, a predicted model, not a curated record
AAGGAAAUCGAAGGUGAAUCGGAUUUGCAAGUACAUCGAGCGGAGAGGUAAACAGCACAUUGAGCGGUAUUCAUCAACACCGCAGAAGCCUUGAACGGUAUUCAUCUACACCGGUCACCACUUGACCGGAUUAGGGCUCUGAUUCGUUCAGCAGAGGUAUACCGCUCAUUUCUUACAGAUUUCUUGAACGGUUUAAACUACACCGGACAACAUAUCAUCGGAUUCACAUCAGGUAAGAUUAUAUUUGAGAAAUUUAGGGUUAUUCGCUCAUUCAAUUGAGCGGUUUUGCUUGUGUUGUGAUUGAUUUCAUUUGAAGUGUUCUGUCCGGUUUAUUAAACCGCUUGUUCAUUUCAAGGUAAAGUUUUACUUCUAUCCGGAUUUCUAAUCCGUUCGAUUUCAGUCUCACUUAUCCAAUUUUGAUUCAAGCUCAAGUGAUCUUGUUUGAUUUAAAAGGCUGUGUUGUUAAAUCAGUGUGCGAUUUAGUUCAUGCUUAUUGAAUGCUGUAUAUUGACUGAUGUGCUGUAACAGAUAUCUUUCAUGUAUUAAUCAGACUUUGUUCAUGCAGUGAGAAGUCUUAAGAUUUUGCAGUGAGCAACUUUCUUAAAGCUGUGAGUAAGCGGCUGUUUGAACUAGUUUUGAGCAGUCCUGAGUAUUGAAAUUUUUUGUUAUAUCGUAACCAUCUGCUGCUACACAAUUAAGUUUUGAGUUUGAUUGAUAUAUUAAAAUCAAUUGCUGUUUUGAUUGAGUAUGAGCACUGAAGCAGAAUGUUGUUGUCAUAGCAGUAGGUUGAAUAGAUUAUGAGUUUUGUACACAGGUUUUGAGUCUUGAACAGCAUCAAAUAUCUUGACAGAAGCUGAAUCAGAAACAGCUGUGCAGUGAUGUGUUGGUAACAGCAAGUCAGCAAGAACCAUUUUGACAGCAACAAGAGGACAUCAACAGGUUCUUUGCUGGUUUGUUCAUAGUUAUUUUGAAGUGCAGGUAUCUUGGAGCAGAAUAGAUUGUGUGGAUACAGCAACUAUUUUGGCAGCCCAGCUACUUAAAUACACAGCAGGUCUUAACAAUUGAGUGUGACUGUUUUUGUUUGGGAAGCAGUAAACAGCAAGUUAUAUAGCAGCAACUUCACAGCAGUGAACAGGUUGCAGGUCUUAACAGCAAGAGCAGGAAGCAGUAACAGCAGGUUCUUAGUUUAGCAAUAGUAGCAAAGCAACAACCAUCUUGACAGCAUGUUGUAGCAGCUCCAUAGUCUUUUAAGCAGGAUCUGUUUUGAGGUUUAUCAACAGAGUGUACAUCACACAGCAUACACAGUGUACAAGUGUACAACACACAGCAGGUUCACACACAGUAGCAUCAAUUUUGUAACAUACAGCAACUGCAACUAAACAGUUAACUGCUUACCACCUUGAGUUUAA